UUCAUUGAGGAUGUGCUCAGGGUACUUGUAAGUGCCGCCAUACCAUGCUCACAACUCACUAGCCCAUCUUUGGAUCACAGGGGGAACAUAUAAACUCUUUACAGACUACAGUGGAAUUGAAGCCCAGCCUUUCAGCUGCAACUGUGAAAAGGCAUUCAUGGUAGAACAAAGAAAUACAACAGAAUCAACAAAAGAACUACACACAAAGACUGAUGAACAACCAAUGUGCAAAAGAAAAUAAAUUGCGCAAACACAAAGGCGGGGAGGAGAAAAGGGACAUAAAUAAAUGGAUGAUGCUAAGAACGUGAGUUGAAGAGUCUUUAAAACUCCUGUACCCCUUCCCGGAUGGUAGUAAUGAGAAAAGGCAUGUCCUGGACGGUGGGUGUCCUUAGUAAUGGAUGCUGCCUUUUUGAGUCAUCCACCAUUAGGGUCAAACAGAUGAAGAAAAUAGAGAAAAAAAGAGUGACAAAGCUUUCUCCAUGUGUUAUAAAUGUGAAGUGUUCAGUAAUUUAAAAAAAUGCUCAACUGUAUAUUUACAUAACAAAUUAAACAUUUUCAAUCUCAUUGAAUACAGCUGAUAGAAAAUGCAUAUCUAAAUCUUAAGAAUAGAAUAUGAUGAA
Hypanus sabinus (Atlantic stingray) is the source of this 620-nucleotide long non-coding RNA. RefSeq lists it as uncharacterized. The record is from RefSeq and is a predicted model, not a curated record. Lineage: Eukaryota; Metazoa; Chordata; Chondrichthyes; Myliobatiformes; Dasyatidae. The transcript has 3 exons.